This 323-nucleotide ribosomal RNA is filed under the name uncultured Actinomycetes bacterium. Its description in RNAcentral is "bacterial SSU rRNA". It matches the Rfam family "Bacterial small subunit ribosomal RNA", at positions 28 to 351 of the family's 1533-position model. Lineage: Bacteria; Bacillati; Actinomycetota; Actinomycetes. The record is from RNAcentral.
GAUGAACGCUGGCGGCGUGCUUAACACAUGCAAGUCGAACGAUGAACUCCAGCUUGCUGGGGGGAUUAGUGGCGAACGGGUGAGUAACACGUGAGUAACCUGCCCUUGACUCUGGGAUAAGCGUUGGAAACGACGUCUAAUACCGGAUAUGACCCUCAACCGCAUGGUUAGGGGGUGGAAAGAAUUUUGGUCAAGGAUGGACUCGCGGCCUAUCAGGUAGUUGGUGAGGUAAAGGCUCACCAAGCCGACGACGGGUAGCCGGCCUGAGAGGGUGACCGGCCACACUGGGACUGAGACACGGCCCAGACUCCUACGGGAGGCUG